RNAcentral lists this ribosomal RNA (163 nucleotides) under Helictochloa gervaisii subsp. gervaisii. RNAcentral's name for it is "5.8S ribosomal RNA". It matches the Rfam family "5.8S ribosomal RNA". Rfam says of the family: 5.8S ribosomal RNA (5.8S rRNA) is a component of the large subunit of the eukaryotic ribosome. Lineage: Eukaryota; Viridiplantae; Streptophyta; Magnoliopsida; Poales; Poaceae. The record is from RNAcentral.
ACACGACUCUCGGCAACGGAUAUCUCGGCUCUCGCAUCGAUGAAUAACGUAGCGAAAUGCGAUACCUGGUGUGAAUUGCAGAAUCCCGCGAACCAUCGAGUCUUUGAACGCAAGUUGCGCCCGAGGCCAUUCGGCCGAGGGCACGCCUGCCUGGGCGUCACGC